Molecule: ribosomal RNA, 404 nt
Filed under: Fusobacteriota bacterium
Lineage: Bacteria; Fusobacteriati; Fusobacteriota
Description: Fusobacteria bacterium partial 16S ribosomal RNA
Rfam family: Bacterial small subunit ribosomal RNA
Source: RNAcentral
UGGGGAAUAUUGCACAAUGGAGGGAACUCUGAUGCAGCGACGCCGCGUGAGUGAUGAAGGAAUUCGUUUCGUAAAACUCUGUUCUAUGGGAAGAAAAGGACUGUACCAUAGGAGAAAGCUCCGGCUAAAUACGUGCCAGCAGCCGCGGUAAUACGUAUGGAGCGAGCGUUGUCCGGAAUUAUUGGGCGUAAAGGGUGCGCAGGCGACUUUACAAGUUGGAUGUGAAAUAUUGUGGCUCAACCACAAACGUGCAUCCAAAACUGCAAAGCUUGAGUUAAGGAGAGGUAAGUGGAAUUCCUGGUGUAGCGGUGGAAUGCGUAGAUAUCAGGAGGAAUACCGGUGGCGAAGGCGACUUACUGGACUUCAACUGACGCUCAGGCACGAAGGCGUGGGGAGCAAACAGG